AUUUUCUCUCCUAAAACUCUCUGCUGAAAAUAAGAAUACAAUGGUGGCUAAAAGCUCUCCUGCCUCCUAACACUUAGGCAAGUAUAUAACUAUUAGGUUAAAAAUUCGUUAGGAGUAAUCUUGUAAUUUGGUGAAGCCUUGGGCUUAAAGUCGGCUGGAACCAAGUCACGCGUCUCGCGUCUCGACAUCGAUCGAUGGUACAGGAUGUACAUCGAUCGAUCAUAAUCUUCAAUCGUCAAGGCUUCUCUUCUAUAUCGAUCGACGGCACAUGAUGUGCAUCGAAUGAUUGCUUCUUCUUCGUAUCGACCUCUAAUGGUCAGCUCGGCUGAAAUCUCUUUUAAGCUCAUAAAUGCUCCAUAAUC
This 362-nucleotide long non-coding RNA is filed under the name Brassica napus (rape). RNAcentral's name for it is "long non-coding RNA (BNAP_LNC020817)". The record is from RNAcentral. Lineage: Eukaryota; Viridiplantae; Streptophyta; Magnoliopsida; Brassicales; Brassicaceae.